UUGCUGAAAAGGUGCCGUCGCAGCUGCUACUGCACCUGCAUAAAAAAGGGCUGCUGCCUUGUUCGGCGGCUAGGCUAAAGCAAGCAAUCAUGACUGCUUGCGCAUUGGCUGUCUUGAUCGUGGGUUUAGUUGCGGCUCACUCAAUCAAGUAGCCGAAUUACUCCAUGAUGCUCUAGCCUGAAGAACUUUAGUGCAACACUAGAGAACCGUCGUGAUUAGCAUAUUUGUCAAUCCUCCAUGCGCCCAUGCCCAACCCCAACACUUCGGUGAAAACAAGUAGGCCUUCACAUUGAAAAGCAGUGAAACAGAAAGACAGCACUCGUGAUAACCACGAGAGCAAUGUGUGAUGGCUGUGGUGGUGAUCGGAGAUCAAUACGACGACCCCUUCGGUUAUUACGGAGUACAGACUGUCAGCGACAAGGACAACAUGGAAGGGCGAAGGACAGGAGGAGCCGGAUAUUGGUUGGGCGACAUAUAUGGCAUAGCGAUGGCACCUGGUAUUGACACCACUGUUACACGCCCAGACUUGGUAUCAGGUGGUACCAAGUACGCAAAAUGCAAUCAAUGCAGCUGCAAGAUCGCUUGGGAAUUAACAAAUUAUGGAAAGGGUGGCAGCUGCAAAAAACAGUUCGAAUUUACUUGUACGUGCAACAGUUAUAGGUGCGACAAAAAGGAGACGCAGUUCUGCAUGGCUAAGUUGGUUUCUCCAAUGUAAAGGAUGUUUGUAGCAGAAACGUGUUACUGAGUGAUCACUAAAUAAAGCUUAGGUU
This is an RNA transcript of Dermacentor silvarum, 770 nucleotides long. RefSeq lists it as uncharacterized. NCBI's taxonomy places the organism in Eukaryota, Metazoa, Arthropoda, Arachnida, Ixodida, Ixodidae. The transcript is spliced from 5 exons. The record is from RefSeq and is a predicted model, not a curated record.